Saccostrea cuccullata (small rock oyster) is the source of this 329-nucleotide long non-coding RNA. RefSeq lists it as uncharacterized. Lineage: Eukaryota; Metazoa; Mollusca; Bivalvia; Ostreida; Ostreidae. The transcript has 3 exons. The record is from RefSeq and is a predicted model, not a curated record.
AUCGCCACAAGAAUCCGUAGUCCAUCCAGGGAGUUGGCGACAGUUCAGUUACUUAGAUAACUUCAGUCAUGAUAACAUCACAGACUGCGUUAUUAUUUGUCUUGGUCGCCUGUGGAUUUGGUAUAGUUACCGCUGCAAAAUUUGAAACAACAGAAUUACUAGCCCCUCCAGAGAGACCCACAUCUAUUUCUAGUAUUGAAGAACUAAGGCGAUACAUUCAGGAAUUGAAUAUGUAUUAUCUGAUACUGGCUCGACCGAGAUAUGGACGUUCUGUUUCAAAUUCUAAGCCUGCAUGAUCAUUUGAUGAGAGGAGCUGUGCCUUUCCAGAC